ACGUAUGGUGCAAGCGUUAUCCGGAUUUACUGGGUGUAAAGGGAGCGCAGGCGGAAGGCUAAGUCUGAUGUGAAAGCCCGGGGCUUAACCCCGGUACUGCAUUGGAAACUGGUCAUCUAGAGUGUCGGAGGGGUAAGUGGAAUUCCUAGUGUAGCGGUGAAAUGCGUAGAUAUUAGGAGGAACACCAGUGGCGAAGGCGGCUUACUGGACGAUAACUGACGCUGAGGCUCGAAAGCGUGGGGAGCAAACAG
This 251-nucleotide ribosomal RNA is filed under the name uncultured bacterium. RNAcentral describes it as "partial 16S ribosomal RNA". It matches the Rfam family "Bacterial small subunit ribosomal RNA", at positions 525 to 775 of the family's 1533-position model. The record is from RNAcentral.